Molecule: ribosomal RNA, 159 nt
Filed under: Biatora longispora
Lineage: Eukaryota; Fungi; Ascomycota; Lecanoromycetes; Lecanorales; Ramalinaceae
Also listed under: 1 other name
Description: 5.8S ribosomal RNA
Rfam family: 5.8S ribosomal RNA
About the family: 5.8S ribosomal RNA (5.8S rRNA) is a component of the large subunit of the eukaryotic ribosome. It is transcribed by RNA polymerase I as part of the 45S precursor that also contains 18S and 28S rRNA.
Source: RNAcentral
AAAACUUUCAACAACGGAUCUCUUGGUUCUGGCAUCGAUGAAGAACGCAGCGAAAUGCGAUAAGUAAUGUGAAUUGCAGAAUUCAGUGAAUCAUCGAAUCUUUGAACGCACAUUGCGCCCCUUGGUAAUCCGGGGGGCAUGCCUGUUCGAGCGUCAUUA